This 79-nucleotide non-coding RNA is filed under the name Pseudomonas tolaasii NCPPB 2192. The record is from RNAcentral. Lineage: Bacteria; Pseudomonadati; Pseudomonadota; Gammaproteobacteria; Pseudomonadales; Pseudomonadaceae.
UGUGGGAGCUGGCUUGCCUGCGAUAGCGGUGUAUCAGUUGCACCGCGGUGAGGCCAUCGCAGGCAAGCCAGCUCCCACA